Molecule: ribosomal RNA, 866 nt
Filed under: uncultured bacterium
Lineage: Bacteria
Description: bacterial SSU rRNA
Rfam family: Bacterial small subunit ribosomal RNA
Source: RNAcentral
GGCUCAGAGCUAACGUGGGCGGCGUGCCUAACACAUGCAAGUCGAACGCGCCGGAGCAAUCCGGUGAGUGGCGAACGGGUGAGUAACACGUGGGUCAUCUCCCCUCGAGUGAGGAAUAAGCUCCCGAAAGGGAGUCUAAUACUGCAUAACGUCCCGGGACAUAAGCCCCGGGACCAAAGCCGUAAGGCGCUUGAGGAUGAGCCUGCGUCCUAUUAGCUAGUUGGUAGGGUAAUGGCCUACCAAGGCGAAGAUGGGUAGCCGGCCUGAGAGGGUGAACGGCCACACUGGGACUGAGACACGGCCCAGACUCCUACGGGAGGCAGCAGUGAGGAAUUUUGCGCAAUGGGGGAAACCCUGACGCAGCGACGCCGCGUGGAGGAUGAAGGCCUUCGGGUCGUAAACUCCUGUCAGAGGUGAAGAAUACCCGCAAGGGUUUGACGGUAACCUCAAAGGAAGCCCCGGCUAACUACGUGCCAGCAGCCGCGGUAAUACGUAGGGGGCAAACGUUGCUCGGAAUUACUGGGCGUAAAGGGUGAGUAGGCGGCUGGGCAAGUCAAGGAUGAAAUCCCGCGGCUUAACUGCGGAACUGUCCUUGAAACUGCCUAGCUUGAGGAUAGUUGAAGAGAAGGGAAUUCCCGGUGGAGCGGUGAAAUGCGUAGAUAUCGGGAGGAACACCUGAGGCGUAGGCGCUUCUCUAAGCUACUCCUGACGCUGAAUCACGAAAGCUAGGGGAGCAAACGGGAUUAGAUACCCCGGUAGUCCUAGCCUUAAACGAUGGAUGCUAGAUAUUCCUGCACUCAUGUGGGAGUGUCGAAGCUAACGCGUUAAGCAUCCCGCCUGGGGAGUACGGUCGCAAGGCUGAAACU